GGGAAAAUAUCCAGUGCUACGGUUCAUCCCAUGAUACGCUGCUACAAGAUCUCCUGGUGCGUUGGAUCUGCAUGGAAGGGGUCGCUGCCAACAUCCAGUGUAUAUCAAAAGGGGCAGAUUAAGCAAACUUGCACCAGAUUAUUAGAAGGACAUUGCAACUACAUGUACAGAAUUUGUUUCUGCAACAGAUUUAUUCACUGUAAUGCAAAGAAGAGAUCGGACGUGCUAAUCGUUUU
Triticum dicoccoides is the source of this 236-nucleotide long non-coding RNA. RefSeq lists it as uncharacterized. Lineage: Eukaryota; Viridiplantae; Streptophyta; Magnoliopsida; Poales; Poaceae. The transcript is spliced from 2 exons. The record is from RefSeq and is a predicted model, not a curated record.